UACUUAUUAAAUAUUCUCAAUCUUUAUACUAGACAACGAUCACGUUAAAACUAUGUUUUUCAAAAUUUUGGCCAAGUUGGCACAUUAUAACGCCAUCUAUCGGGAUUUUCUGUAUCCAUUUAUUAUUUCUUCUAAGGUUCCGCUUGUUUAGAUAACCUAAAAACAAAGAAGCCUUUAUGGUUGAUGUCAUUGUCUGAAUAGCAGUUAACGCAUUAAUUAAUCCAGUACUUAUAUUGACAAUAUUUUUUCGUUUCACCAUAAAAUUAUACUGGAGUAUCAUUGUUGUUAUAUUAUAUCGUCUCAUCUUUAUGAGAUACUAUUUUUUGUCGUUAAAUAGUGUCACAGUCGAUUACAAAGACUCAAUAUGGUACUUUUCCGCGCCCCCGUGAUAACGAGUGUUCAACUGAUCGUGACUACUAGUGCUCUCCAGCGGGACAGAAUCACGACCGUGACCUUGAACCGAGCCCUUAAGAGAAAUCAGCACGAGAAUCUGGUGGCAUACGGCAGAGUAUGUUGCAGCAGCUCAGACAACAUGUGAAAUUCUUCAUCUUGAUGGUCUACUGAAAAACAUCCCAUCUAGUGACUCUGUGCCUGUGUUAUAUUGUGAUAAUCAAAGUGCUAUGAUAAACAAUCAUGAAUACUAUAAAAGGUCGAAACACAUUGACAUGACGUCAGCCGGGGCUUCGCCCCAUGAGCCUGAUCAUCCUCCGUUCCCUUCCCACACCUUUUCUACCCGGCAUUUUUACCAUGACGUACAUAGUUGUGUGAGUAUUUGAAUUGCGCGCCACGAACUACCACAAGAGGGCGCUUAGCUACAGUGCGCCGUACCCCUAUAUGUAUUUAAAGUAAUAUUGUAAACCUUUUCUUUUCACCCCUGAACAGUGUCACGACAGGUCAGCCGAGUGAGUGUCUUUUGUUUUCUCAAUUAAGUAAUUUUUAAUAAAGUAAGUGCAAGCACGGCCAGUGACGGCUCCCUAGCGGGCGACGGCGGAACUAGUAUAUAACUAUAUUUAAACUAAUUUCAUGCACAAGUAAUUAUUACAGACAGUCUGGUCGUGGGAAUGUGUAUAUUAAUUUUAUAAAAGGUUCAUGUUAUUCUCUGUAAUAACCCGGGGCACGCAGUCUUAAAAGUGUUAACGGUAAUUGUGUUUGGCGCGAAGGACGCCAUGUUUCCUGCCGUGAGCCUUGUCUCGCCUCAGUCUCCUCCUUCAGCCGGCCGAGAGCGGACGUCUCUGCAGACACCCCGAGGACAUCACCAUUGUAUCACCGAUAAGUAGCUCUGUUAACCUAAUUAAUUAAAACCGCUUUCUUUUUCAUCCUCGGGGCCUCUCUCGGUCGGUGGGGGCUGAUUCGUAAUUAAUUCUUUUACUCUCGGGAGUUUUUACCAUCCUCUUUCUACGUAAAGGCUUGGGGUGGCCACGUGUGUGGUCCGCUUCCUCAACUUAUACAGAUUCUUGCCUCGGGCAUUUUAACCGUGUCAAGGGAGGAGUGUAGAAAGGCGUGUAAAGUAUUAAUAAAACCAACUUAAACGAGUCACGUGUCUUUUGUGUUUGGGGGCCAUGUGGGUCCUUACUGCAGCCAGCGGUGUGUGGGAUGCCCUAAGAGCCCACUGCGGUUAGGUAUAAGCGUGCCCGAUGCUGAAAGCGGGCUCAGUUUAGGAACAGGUGUUAACAUCGAGAUCAGGAGGGCUAAUAUCUCGCCUCACAUGGGCCACGUAACGCCCUGAAUAAGAGUCUCUAGCCGGGUCCACGUGCCCACUCACGUGUCGGCGCCCACUAUUUCAACUAGUUCAAAACGUAACACCGGUAGGCCCUCAGACAUUAGAGUAAAUUUUAUUAAAGAUGUUGAGUCAAAGAAUCAACUUGUUGUGGAGUGUGAGAGAUCGGAGGAUAAUGUCGCAGAUAAGUUCACAAAGGCAUUGUCUGUACAAAAAUUGAUAAUGUUUAGAAAUAUGCUAUCUGUUGUGCCUAUUGAUUGAAAGUUGUUCUGUACUUCCUUCAUGUUUACUUAGGGGCAAAUUAAAGUUAUCUAAAAUGAAAAAAAAAAA
Long non-coding RNA from Bacillus rossius redtenbacheri, 2047 nucleotides. RefSeq lists it as uncharacterized. NCBI's taxonomy places the organism in Eukaryota, Metazoa, Arthropoda, Insecta, Phasmatodea, Bacillidae. The record is from RefSeq and is a predicted model, not a curated record. The transcript has 2 exons.